This is a long non-coding RNA of Ornithodoros turicata, 631 nucleotides long. RefSeq lists it as uncharacterized. The transcript has 3 exons. Lineage: Eukaryota; Metazoa; Arthropoda; Arachnida; Ixodida; Argasidae. The record is from RefSeq and is a predicted model, not a curated record.
CACUAUCGAUGAACUUCGUGAAAGCCCUACUGGUGGAACAUCUGCUUAUCACAUCGAGCAACAGUACGUCGCAGUCACUAACGGCUCGUCCUCAUGUUUUUCAGGUACACCCAGGGAGAGUCCAUAAGCACUGCUGAGCGCAAACAUCCUCUUGGGCCUCUCUUUAUUGGACAACCCAUAGCUCCCCCCCGUCGGAACGGCCCUGACGACAACGCAUAACAUAUCUUACUGUCCUGCCGACAGCAUCGGGAGCAUCUCCAGGCAUCCACGAGCCAAACGUCACCAAUUCCUGCAGGAGUAACCGACCCCCGACCUUUGACCGAACCAAACAAGCGUUCGGCAGCUUUCAACACAGUCCUCAGAUUUAACCCCUAUAGCUGAAUGGCGUAAUUACUUUCCGAUCUAUAGAUAUCGAACCGUCUUAGAAUACUUAGCGCAUUGACAUGCCGGGGCAAUUCGACCCGAAGGGAACCCGUUCUUUACGUUAUUUAUUGCCGUUGUUGUUGUUUAACCGAAUAGCGCACGAGCGCCACCACCAUCCUGUUCAUAUUCCACACUUCAAGGCAGGGCGCAUUCCCCGCAUCGUAUUAGGGUAUCACCUUCAGCGCUCGAACAGGCCCCACGAUGCUAU